GCAAGUCGAGGGGUAACAUAGAGAAGCUUGCUUUUCUGAUGACGACCGGCGCACGGGUGCGUAACGCGUAUGCAACCUACCUUAUACUGAGGGAUAGCCCGAAGAAAUUCGGAUUAAUACCUCAUAGUAAUUAUUAACCGCAUGGUUUUGUAAUUUAAAGAUUACGGUAUAAGAUGGGCAUGCGUCCCAUUAGCUAGAUGGUAAGGUAACGGCUUACCAUGGCAACGAUGGGUAGGGGGCCUGAGAGGGUGAUC
RNAcentral lists this ribosomal RNA (254 nucleotides) under uncultured bacterium. Its description in RNAcentral is "partial 16S ribosomal RNA". It matches the Rfam family "Bacterial small subunit ribosomal RNA", at positions 57 to 305 of the family's 1533-position model. The record is from RNAcentral.